This 685-nucleotide long non-coding RNA is filed under the name Fukomys damarensis (Damara mole-rat). RNAcentral's name for it is "lncRNA (ENSFDAG00000022741.1)". The record is from RNAcentral. Lineage: Eukaryota; Metazoa; Chordata; Mammalia; Rodentia; Bathyergidae.
CCUCCCCCGCGAGUGGGCUCUGGAGCCCGGGCGCCGAGCGAGUCUGAAAGCCGCGGGCAUCUGAGACAGGAGCCUCCCAGGGCACCGGGUGCGCUCAUCCGAACGGCUCGGGUCCCCUAGCCCUGGACAGACGAUCCAUGAGGUGACCUCUCCGGGAAGGAGACCUAGAAGCGCCCGAGGACAGGGUGCACCCCUGUGCUUCCCAGUGAAGGAGAGGUGGGUGCUGUACAGGCCGCGAGAGGGGCCGGGGCAGCUGGCCUUCAUCUGCAGGAGCUGCUGAUGCGCUGCCACCGAGCCGGGCGAGAACAGUUGGGGGAAAUCAAAGACCCCAGCUCUGGAUUAGCGACAACAGCCGGAGGCAAUCAUCUCUGUUCUUGAGAUCUGCCGAAUGUAGCCACAAAACCUGUCGUUCGGCCACAUACCUCCGACGGGUCACUCACCAGACCCCAUCUCCUUUACAACACCCCCCUAGAUCAGAGUCUCAGGAAGAAGACACUUUAGGACAACAGCCGCUGUCACCUUUUAUCGCUGGUAGUUUAUGGUAAUAAAGUGCUUUCCCUACCAUGGCGUUGGCUAGGUAGUGCUUGUCUUCCACCCAUGGAGAGAACAGCCUUCUGUGCCCUCGCGUUUGUGGCCAGGACUUUGACCCUGGAGAAAUUGAUUCGCAGGGAAAACAAAACAAAAC